Mya arenaria is the source of this 480-nucleotide long non-coding RNA. RefSeq lists it as uncharacterized. Lineage: Eukaryota; Metazoa; Mollusca; Bivalvia; Myida; Myidae. The record is from RefSeq and is a predicted model, not a curated record. The transcript is spliced from 4 exons.
GGAUACUGUUCAUACUGAUGAUGUGGAUACUGUUCAUACUGAUGAUAUAAUGCUGAUAAUGUGGAUAUUUAUAAUGUAGAUGCCCCGGAUGAUCAACCAGGGACUAAUAGAGCUGGACAGUGCCAUGAUGUGAAUACUGUUGAUACUGAUGAUGUGGAUGCUGAUGAUGUGGGUGAUGAUAAUGUGGAUGCCUCCGGACUGAAAUAGCUGGACAGUGCCAUGAUGUGAAUACUGAUGAUGUGGAUGCUGAUGAUGUGGAUGCUGAUGAUGUGGAUGCCUCCGUUGAUCAACCAGUGACUGAAAUAGCUGGACAGUGUCAUGAUGUGAAUACUGUUGAUACUGAUGAUGUGGAUGCUGAUGAUGUGGAUGUUGAUAAUGUUGAUGCCUCCGUUGAUCAACCAGGGACUGAAAUAGGUACACUUAUCGUUUUUAUAAUAUAAGAUGAACGGGUGCCUGAUAUUUGAUGUUUUCAUGUAUAGA